GCUUGUCUCAAAGAUUAAGCCAUGCAUGUGUAAGUAUAAGCAAUUUAUACUGUGAAACUGCGAAUGGCUCAUUAAAUCAGUUAUAGUUUAUUUGAUAGUACCUACUACUUGGAUACCCGUAGUAAUUCUAGAGCUAAUACAUGCGUAAAAUCCCGACUCACGAAGGGAUGUAUUUAUUAGAUAAAAAACCAAUGCGUGGCAACACGGAUAUGUGGUGAUUCAUGAUAACUUUGCGAAUCGAAUGGCCUUGUGCUGUCGAUAAAUCAUUCAAAUUUCUGCCCUAUCAACUUUCGAUGGUAGGGUAUUGGCCUACCAUGGUUUUAACGGGUAACGGAGAAUUAGGGUUCGAUUCCGGAGAGGGGGCCUGAGAAAUGGCCACCACAUCCAAGGAAGGCAGCAGG
RNAcentral lists this ribosomal RNA (401 nucleotides) under uncultured Planomonadidae. RNAcentral's name for it is "partial small subunit ribosomal RNA". It matches the Rfam family "Eukaryotic small subunit ribosomal RNA", at positions 30 to 432 of the family's 1831-position model. Lineage: Eukaryota; Ancyromonadida; Planomonadidae. The record is from RNAcentral.